Molecule: ribosomal RNA, 250 nt
Filed under: uncultured bacterium
Lineage: Bacteria
Description: partial 16S ribosomal RNA
Rfam family: Bacterial small subunit ribosomal RNA
Source: RNAcentral
UACGGAGGGUGCAAGCGUUAUCCGGAUUCACUGGGUUUAAAGGGUGCGUAGGCGGGCAGGUAAGUCCGUGGUGAAAUCUCUGAGCUUAACUCAGAAACUGCCAUGGAUACUAUUUGUCUUGAAUAUUGUGGAGGUAAGCGGAAUAUGUCAUGUAGCGGUGAAAUGCUUAGAUAUGACAUAGAACACCAAUUGCGAAGGCAGCUUACUACACAGUUAUUGACGCUGAGGCACGAAAGCGUGGGGAUCAAAC